RNAcentral lists this long non-coding RNA (14671 nucleotides) under Triticum aestivum (bread wheat). RNAcentral's name for it is "long non-coding RNA (TAES_LNC026224)". The stretch from base 696 to 782 matches the Rfam family "MIR1120/MIR1122 microRNA precursor family". Lineage: Eukaryota; Viridiplantae; Streptophyta; Magnoliopsida; Poales; Poaceae. The record is from RNAcentral.
UGGACGCGGUGCCGCAGCCGCCGCAGCCGAUGGGGGAGAGGGGCAUCCCUGAAGCUCUGAAGUUCUCCAUGGCUCAUGGUGAGUCUGCUCUGUCCUUGAGAUGGGUAUUUGUUUUGUGGCGUGGGAUGAGCUUGUUUAAUCUGUGCAUGCUACACUUGCUAGUAGAAAAGAGUAGAUAGUGGUGUGACACAUGGCUGGGUUCGGCUCUCAGUAAUUUAAGUUUCAGCAUUCACACACAGAAAAAUGUUUCAGUACAAAUUUGGCAAUGUUUGUAGCAUAUGUAGACAUAGAGAAUGCAAUUCUAGGAGAGCUUAGGUAAUGUCAAGUGCACAUAGUAUGAUCUUAGGUGUUUAUCUCAGAUAAUAGGGUUAUUACAAGAAAACCGUGUAAUGCGCCGUGAGAAGAGUAUGAUGUGCCAUUCCUAAUGAAUUAGUUAAAUAUGUGCAUGUUAGUAGAAAAGAGUAGACAAUGAUGUGAUACAUGUGAAUGCCACAGGGUUUGGUUCAGCUCUUGGUAAUUUAAGUUUCUGUAUAAAUUUGGCGCUAUCUGUACCUAUUUCUCGACAUAGGUAGAAAAAUUUGGUGUUGUUCAAAGAAAGGUAGAUAAUUUUUAGUAUGAAGUGUAAACCCAGAUACUAGAAUGCUUACCGCAGUGUGAAUAUGUGAGUUAAUUAGCUUAAAUUAGAUAAAAAAUUAGUACUCCCUCCAUAAAGAAAUAUAAGAGCGUUUAGAUCACUGAAGUAGUGAUCUAAAUGCUCUUAUAUUUCUUUACAGAGGGAGUACUUUCCAAUCUGCAAAAAAGUACUGAUCUUAAUGCUCUUAAAUUUACUGGUUUCUUCUAGCAAAAGUAUUGCCAAUUUGUGUAUACCUUGAUUCAGAGAUCAAUCACAUCUUGAUUCAGAAAAAACGUACUGCACAAUUAUGCUAUUUCCUGACAUGAGAAGAACACCCCAGCGCAUAACUAGUCUGUAGACGCGUGCCAUGGAAAUUCUGACAAUUUCUUGGGUUAAAGAAACAUUUUCUUUUAUUCAGGCAUGGCAUGACACCAAAAGAACCUAGUAUGUAACUAAUGCUAUAUAGAUUCGAUUCUUCUGAAACUUAUGCUUUUUUUGUUCGAAGACUGAACUUAUCCAUUUGAUAUGGAAAAUUGAACAUCAUAAGUUAGAUUGCCAUGGAUUCAUAAGUCGGACCUACUUCUGUUUUUAUGGAUCUUGGAAAUAUGAUUGAUGGUGCAUUUGGGUUCAAGUAAAGGAGGGAACAGUUCUGAGCACUCUGCAGGUGAUCCAGAGGUUGAUCCCAGUUCUAUUUCGUAUUUGGUCGCGGUCUGAUGGAUUGCUACUGAUGCUAGUUGGUGGUUAUGGCAGGGACAGAGACGGCCACCGAGUGAGCGAGGGAGGGCCCAUGGCGCUCUCCUGCAUGAGCUGCUCAUCCGUUUCCAGUGGCCCCUUUGUGCGCCGGCACGCAGAGAGUCCGCCCUGGUUGGAACAAGAUAAAUGAAGUGGGUUUACGAAUUUGAGAUCAUUCUCACUAGCUUUGGUAACUUAGAGAUAUUUAGCAUUCUUAACAAACCCCUAGCAUCUUCUUUGAGUUAGUAAUGUUAUUACAUACGUCUGUACUGUUGAUGGUUACUGAAAGGAUCGAUAUGGUUGACUAGAGGGGGGGUGAAUAGGCAACUAACAAUUUUUAGCUUUUCUUUAACAAGUUAAACUUUGCAUCAAAAUAGGUUGUCUAGAAAUGCAACUAGGUGAGCAACCUAUAUGAUGCAACGAGGAUAAGUACACAAGCAAGCAAGAGAUAUGAAACAAGUAAGCUUGCUUAAAUAAAGGCACGAGAUAACCAAGAGUGGAGACAGUGGAGACGAGGAUGUGUUGCCGAAGUUCCUUCCCUUUGAGAGGAAGUACGUCUCCGUUGGAGCGGUGUGGAGGCACAAUGCUCCCCAAGAAGCCACUAGGUCCACCAUAUUCUCCUCACGCCCUCACACAAUGCGAGAUGCAGUGAUUCCACUAUUGGUGCCCUUGAAGGCGGCUACCGAACCUUUACAAGCAAGGUUGGGGCUCUCUCCACAACUUAAUUGGAGGCUCCCAACAAAACCACGAAGCUUCACCACAAUGGAAUAUGGCUCCGAGGUGACCUCAACCGUCUAGGGUGCUCAAACACCCAAGAGUAACAAAAUCCACACAAGAAAGUAUGGGGGAACCAAAUAUCCUUUGGUGGAAGUGUAGAUCUAGGUCUCCUCCUUCAAUCCCUAGCAAAUCAACAAGUUUGAGUGGCUAGAGAGAGAGAUCGGGCAAGAGAGCUUGAAGGGCAUCAAUGGUGGAGUGAGAGAGGUCAAAGGUGGGAGUGGUAGGUGGGAGAAGCCCCCUUAAGUAGUCUCCCCACAAUUCCAACCGUUACUGCGUUUUUGCACUGCAGCGGUACAACCGGUCCUCGUCCCGGUACAACCGGGACUCACGGUGUAACAGCAGAACCCUACCAAGCGGUACAACCGGACAGGCGGGCGGUAGUACCGGCUAAGAAAGAUAACCAGACUAACCGCCUGGCUACCGCACAACCACCGCAUCAAAACAGGAGCUUGACCGGUACUUGGGCGGUGCCUGGCCGGAACAACCGCAUGGCCUUGAGCUCUUAGGCGGCUAAGUUCUGAGCGGAAGAACCGCUCGGACCACCGGUGGUACCGGUCAUCGUGGAACGACCGGACCAACCGGGCCACUACGGCCCAAGAACAGCAUCAAACCAGAGGCGAGAGCGGUACUUGAGCGAUACAUGGACGGAACCACCGCCCUAGCUGUUGCAGAGCAUGGUGGCGGUACCACCGCCCGGAGGCAGCGGUACAACCGCUCGAGCAAAAGCUGGUGAGCGACAAGACCCAUCAGUACAACCGCUCCAGAGAGCGGUACAACCGCUAGGCAGAAACAGUGAGCAGGAAAGAUGGGAAGAGGCAAGGAAAACUCUCUCUCUCUCUCUCACACACACACACACCUGAGGAAGGCAAAGAGAGGGUGAGAAAAGUGUACGUGAACUGAUUCCCCCAGAGCUUCCUAAUGAGGAUUCCCUCUUGAUAGUACGGGUACUCUACGACCAAAGAAAAUAAAAACGUAGAGGACACGUCUUCGAUCUUUUCCUUUGAGAGGUAAUAGCAAUCUGAUGUAAGCCUAAGCAUCGAGAACCUGAAACAUAUAGCACACGUUUAGACCACAAAGGGUUGUCAUCAUCAUCCAAAACAUAAAGUAGGGAAAUGGCCUUUCAAUCUCCCCCUUUUUGGUGGAUGAUGACAACAACACGAUUUGCAAGAGAUAAGUCAAUGAAAUUUAGACGGAACUCCCCCUGAAUGUGUGCCCCAACAAGUACUAGCUGUUAGAAAGCAUGGGCACACUUUCAGGACUAGACUCCCCCUAGAUUUUAUAGACUCAUCACUCUGAGCUCAAAAGGAUAGACAAUAUAAUACUUAGAGGCAAUAAUAAUGAUAAAGACCUACGAAUAAACGGAGUAGCAAGUCUAGCAAGUCUCACACACAGCACGGAACGAAACAAGUCCACAAACAAACACAAAAACACGAGAACAAGAGAAAACAACCCAAGCAAAUCCCCGAGACCUAUAGAACCCUCUCCCCCUUUGGCAUCAAGACACCAAAAAGGAAAAGAGCGAAGCUAGCGACCCAAAGCUCAGGCGUCCUCCUCUGACUCCUCAGUCGCAUCUGGAUCUUCAUCAUCAGAGUCAUCAUCGUCAUCGUGAUCAGAUACUUCCAUGGCAUUGUCAGCUGCUGCAAACGAGGAUGAUGGCUGGGGAGGGGCUUCAUCAUCAUUCCAGGUGCUAUGGGUAGAGAUCCAACGCUCCUCUGGGGUGAUGCUCUUCUCAGAGCCACUCUGAACCUGCAUGUUGAGGUGCUUCAUCAUUGCAAUUUGGCGACGCCGUGCGAGCUUCUCAUUGACAUGUGCCUCAUACAUCUUCUUCUGGAUGUCAGCCUGGAGACAAAAGGUCUUCUUUACCUUGGCAGUAAGUUUGGCCACCCACGAAGGCUUGGCCCCUGGCUCCAGCUCAAAGUCCUCAUCGUCAGAAGUAGCAUAGACAUCCUCAGGAGCAUGUUCAGGGAAGUGAGGCUGGGCAUGCUUCUUCUUCUUAAGGAGCUUGACCUCAUGAACAGUGAGGUUGUCUGGAGAAGUGAGGAGCUCUCCAGGACGACGAACAACCCACACAGAGUUCAGAAAGCACAUGACAAACGGAGCAUAGAUUGGGACUUUAUGGUAGAUGACCAUGUUGUACAUCUCAUGCCACAACCAAUUUGACACAUCAAACGUUGCCCCUGUCCCCACCAUGGUCUUCAUGGCAACCAUCAAAUCAACCAGAUAGCCAUGAAUUUCAUCUUGAUUGUCCACCUUGGGCAAGAGCACAUUGCGGAACACUCGGUGCAUGAUGUCAUAGACCUUCUCCAAAUCCUUGGAUUCUCCAAUAAUCCCACGGCCCCGAAUGUACAGAGGGGCAAGCUUCUCCUUAGGCAUGGACUCAGGAAAAUCAUGAGGGCGAAUGCCACCCCUUCCUUGCAGACCGGUAUCCUCGUACCCAAUAGCAUUGCAGAAAGCCCUCCAGGGAACGUGAAACAAUUCAUCGCGACACAUGAAGGUGAGAGUGCGCGCAUCAUCUUCCCCAAAAUGAACCAUGGCAUAGAACUGAUGGAUGAGUUGAACAUCAAAGUCACAGUUGACUGACAUGAUCUUGACAAGAUCAAACUCCUCGCAGAGAGCUAACGCCUCACCAAAAUACUCCAUGUUGUUCCUCCAAUGAUCAAAAUCAAUCGUCCACUGCUUGGCAUAUCUAUUCUUGUUGUGCUCAAAGAGUUCAUGAACAAUCCGCACUUGCAUCUCAUUCCGGAACUGAACAGUGGUCCAACGGGGAGCAAUGGGAACCUCAUACGGAUUCUUUGAGCGGUAGGCUUCCCAAUCCUUGGCUUUCCAACGAUGCAACGGCAUGACCACACGUUGCUUAGCAGCUGUAGACUUUUCACGGCGAGUAGGCUUGGUGGGAAUCACAACUUCUUCAUCAUCUGACACAACUGGGCGCAAGGUCCUUCGUGCCCUCUUCUUGGUCUUGCAAGGAGCAGAGCGAGAACUAGAGCCACCUGAACACACACACGAAAAGAACACACACAAAACCCAACAAGGAUGAGAGGAUUGCACCCACUAGCAGAAAAGGAACAAGUUGCAACAACAGAGAAGAUAGAACAGUGCUUAGUGGUUGAUAUACUCCGGUUGUACCGGAUCUUCCGCCGGUAGUACCGCUCCAGCGGUUGUACCGCCCGUAGGGGCGGUAGAACCGCUGACAGUGGCACUACCAAGGAAGAUAGAUCUAACCGAGGCAUACGAAUCACACAAGUAAUAUUCCGAAUUCUAAGUGCUGCAAACAAGACAGGAGGAUAACAAAGAACUCUUCUAAGCCAUAGCUCAAACACUAAACGCGGAAAGAUGGGUAAAGCCCUAGGCAAGGAAUAACCCUAAACAAAAAUCUAGAGGCAAAGAACACGAGGCAUUAACACCAUCCAUGGGAAGAGUUCGGAAGGCCUCCACGGAGAGAAUCCAUGGAGAUCCAAGGAUCCGAAGCGCGAGACGCACUCCGAGGCAGGGGUAGAGAUGGCCGGUGGCUAGGGCAAGAAAAAGAGGAACGAGGGCGAAGGGAAAAAGACAACCCUUCAGCCCCGUCGAGUAUAUAUAGGCCCGUACGCACGCCCCGGUAGAACCGCUUAGGGGAGCGGUUGUACCGCUCGUCUGGUACAGACCGGUGGAUGGAGGCGGUACUUCUGGUGCCUGGAAGGCAGCGGUAGUACCGCUCGGCAACAACCGGUAGUACCGGACGUGGGUUACCGUGGGAUUGUGCGGUGGAACCGCCCAGGCACUGAACGGAAACCCUUGGGACGGCACAACCCGGUACCAGCGGUAGAACUGCUCGUGGUACCGGUUGUACCGCCCGACCACCUAAGCCCAAGCCAAGAUCAAAUGAGUGCAAUCCGAAGGGAGGAAGAAGGGGCACAAAAACAGGAGAGAAACAACACCCUAGGAGAACCUAACACAAAGAGCAAAGAGAGAAAGAGAGAAAACAACACGAGAACAGCAAGGCUAACUCCAACUCCCCGAAGAGAGGACGGUGGCCGAGGCCACCUAUGUUUGAGUCAAUUGGUAUGGCACUGCGAAGAAUUAUCCUUGUGUCCAUGACCAAAACUCGUCUUUGAAGCACAAGUACCAUCAGAUAUGGCUAAUGUGAAAGACACAAUCAAUUUAUGCAUAAUGGGGGGAGGGAGAGUUCACUGAGAGAACAACACUCCCCCUAUGUCCAUGCCUACACCUAAACUAGACAACAAGUUGAGCGUGGUAGGGUGUGCAAGGGUUCAAGCCACAUUGCUCGAAUCAAUGAUAUUUAGAUCAUGCCUUAACUUGCGAAAUCUUGCUUCAUCUAAGGGCUUUGUGAAAAUAUCUGCAAGGUUGUCAUGAGUGUUGACAUAGUUGAGCUCGAUCUCUCCUCGUCUAAUGUGAUCCCGGAUGAAGUGAUACCGGAUCUCAAUAUGCUUCGUCUUGAAAUGUUGUACUGGAUUGAGAGAGAUCUUGAUGGCACUUUCAUUGUCACACCAAAGAGGAACUUUGUCACAAGUGACACCGUAAUCCUUUAAAGUUUGCCUCAUCCAUAGGAGUUGAGCACAACAACUACCGGCAGCAACAUACUCCGCCUCAGUGGGCGAGAGAGACACACAACUUUGCUUUUUGGAAGACCAACUUACCAAAGAGCAACCAAGGAAUUGGCACCCUCCAGAAGUGGACUUCCUAUCCACUUUUUCUCCCGCCCAAUCGGAAUCCGAGUACCCUACAAGCUUAAAGUUUGAUCCUCUAGGGUACCAUAGGCCAAAGUUUGGGGUAUGAGCCAAAUAUCGAAAGAUUCGUUUGACCGCCACAUAGUGACUUUCCUUAGGUGCGGCUUGAAACCGUGCACAAAUUCCCACACUCAACAUGAUGUCCGGUCUAGAUGCACAAAGGUAAAGCAAGGAUCCAAUCAUGGAAUGAUAUACCUUUUGAUCCACCACUUUACCAUUGGGAUCUAAGUCAAGUUGGCACUUGGUGGGCAUUGGAGUGGAAGCCGGCUUGACGUCACUUAGCUUGAAUCUCUUGAGCAUGUCUUGAGUGUAUUUGGAUUGAUUGAUGAAGGUUCCUUCUCUUAUUUGCUUCACUUCGAACCCUAGAAAGAACUUCAACUCUCCCAUGGAGGACAUCUCGAACUUUGAGGUCAUGAGAGCGGCAAAUUCCUCAUUGAAAGCUUUGUUAGGAGAACCAAAGAUAAUAUCAUCAACAUAUAAUUGGCACACAAACAACUCCCCUUUGACCUUCUUAGUAAAAAGAGUGGGGUCGAUUAGCCCAACUUCAAAACCACGGUCUUGUAACAACUCGGUAAGGUGGUCAUACCACGCACGUGGGGCUUGUUUAAGACCAUAGAGCGCCUUAUCGAGUUGAUACACAUGAUCGGGAAAGUAGGGAUCCUCGAACCCGGGGGGUUGCUUGACGUAAACCAAUUCAUUAAUGGGACCAUUAAGAAAAGCACUCUUCACAUCCAUUUGUUGUAACUUAAAAUUAUGAUGAGAAGCAUAUGUAAUUAACAAGUGAAUGGAUUCAAGACGAGCAACGGGAGCAAAGGUUUCACCGUAGUCGAUACCCUCGACUUGGGAGUAGCCUUGUGCUACCAAACGAGCCUUGUUGCGAAUGAUAAUCCCAUGGGCAUCUUGCUUGUUAUUGAAUAUCCACUUGGUUCCAAUGACAUUGUGGUUCCCCGUUGGCCUUGGCACCAAUCUCCACACUUUGUUGCGCUCGAAGUUGUUGAGUUCUUCGUGCAUGGCAUUGAGCCAAUCCGGAUCUUCUAGCGCCUCAUAGACCUUGUGGGGUUCCACACAAGAGACAAACGCGUGAUGCUCACAAUAAUUUUCUAAUUGUCUACGAGUGCUUACCCCUUUUCUUAAGCUUCCAAGCACAUUCGUCAUGAGAUGAUCCUUGGUGGAGAGCUUGGAUGCAAUCUUGGCGGCACGACGCUCUAAUUCCUCCUCGGUGGUGAGUUGAGGAGCGGUUACUUGAUCAUCUUGAGCGCCGUCAUGAACUUGUUCUUGAUCUUGAACUUGCUCGGGGGAGAGAACUUGACCUUGGGCAUCACUUGGUGUGUCAACACCGUCUUGAGUAUGAUCUUGCCCUUGGUCUUGUUCAUGAGGUUGAGGGCCUUCACUUUGUUCUUCGGAAGCGUGUGGGCCUUGGGUUGGUGAUGGCUCCACUUGAGUGGAGCAUUGUCCUUCUCCUUCGGCCACAAGGGGUUCCUCAAUGGGUAGGAUAAAACCAACACCCAUUCUUCUUAUGGCUUGAGGAGGAAUUUCAUCACCUACAUCACAAGUGCCACUUUGCUCCACUUGGGAGCCGUUAUUCUCAUCAAACUCCAUGUUACACGUCUCCUCAAUAAGUCCCGUGGAUUUAUUGAGGACACGGUAAGCAUGAGAGUUUGUAGCAUAACCAACAAAUAUGCCCUCAUGAGCUCUAGCCUCAAAUUUAGACAACCGAACACCUUUCUUGAGAAUGAAACACUUACACCCGAACACCCGGAAGUACUUGAGGUUGGGCUUGUUACCGGUGAGUAUCUCAUAUGGAGUCUUGUUCAAGCCCUUGCGGAGGUAGAGCCGAUUGCAUGCAUGACACGCGGUGUUGAUGGCUUCGGCCCAAAAGUUGUACGGAGACUUGAACUCCGCCAUCAUGGUCCUUGCCGCAUCCAUCAACGUCCGGUUCUUCCUUUCCGCAACACCAUUUUGUUGAGGGUUGUAUGGUGCGGAAUAUUGAUGCUUGAUUCCCUCAUCACUAAGAAAUUCAUCCAAGGUGUAGUUCUUGAACUCGGUGCUGUUGUCACUUCUUAUUGUCAAGAUCUUUGCAUUGUGUUGACGUUGUGCUUCAUUUGCAAAGUCAAUGAUGGUUUGUUGGGUCUCGCUCUUCCUCUUGAAGAAAUACACCCACGUGUACCUUGAGUAGUCAUCCAGAAUCACCAAGCAAUACUUCCUACCUCCAAGACUAUCGAAGGAUGGAGGCCCAAAGAGAUCCAUGUGAAGGAGCUCCAAAGGCCUCUUUGAAUAAAUGAUAGUCGUGGGAGGGUGAGCCUUCUCAUGUAGCUUUCCUUCGAUACAGGCACUACAAGCACGAUCUUUAGCAAAACUAACAUUCGUUAGUCCACAGACAUGGUCCCCCUUGAGGAGACUUUGCAAAGAUCUCAUAUUGACAUGGGCUAAACGGCGAUGCCAAAGCCAUCCCACAUCAACUUUAGCCAUUAGGCAUGUCGCGGUCUUAGUGGGUCGCUCCGAAAAGUUAAUCACAUAUAGACCGUUCUCGACAUGCCCAACAAAGGCUACUUUAAGAGUCUUGCUCCACAAGAGGGCCACGGUAUCGAUAUCAAAGAAAGUGGCAAAGCCCAUGAUUGCAAGUUGACGAACGGAAAGUAAAUUGUAUGCAAGGGACUCAACAAGCAUGACCUUCUCGAUCGUGAGAUCAUGAGAGAUGACCACCUUGCCAAGUCCCAAUACCUUAGAAGAUGAGGCGUCACCCCACUCGACAUUGGUGGGCAUAGAUGGAACCUUCUGCACGUCCACCACCAAGUCCUUGCUUCAGGUCAUAUGAUUUGUAGCUCCGCUAUCAAGCAACCAUGAUCCACCACCGGAAGCAAACACCUACAAGAUAUCAAUGCUUGGUUUUAGGUACCCAUUUUGUAAUGGGUCCUUUGAUAUUAGUAACAAGGGUCUUAGGAACCCAAAUAGACCAUUCAAUGUAUUCAUGAAGAGAACCACAAAUUUGGCAUAAACAUGCCCAUCACUAGCACGGCAUAACACAUAAGAAGGAUUAAAAUCGCCGGCUUUGUUGGGAGGGGUGACAUUGCCCUUCUUGACAUUAUUCUUCUUCUUCUCCUCGGGGGCACUCUCUCCCUCCCUCACAAAGGUUUGCAUGAGAGGAGGAGGCCGUUUGGUCUUGUCAUUCUUCUUCUUGUUCUUGGAGUCGGGGACGUACCCAACCCCUUCCUUGGCCACACCUCCCUUUUGGUUGGUCAAGAGAUCGUUGAGGUUCUUCUUGCCUUGUAUGCAAGUCGCAAGACCUCUCUCAAGUUGCUCCUUCAACUUAGCAUUUUCCUCAACAAGAUGUAUAUGCUCACAACACGGGUUAGUAGCAUUUGCAUUAUCAAUUAAAACCAUAUGAGGAAAAGUUGCUUUCUCCCUAGUUAGCUUCACUUGGAGUUGAUCAUGAGACUCCUUGAUACUAGCGUGAAUACCCUUCAAGGCCUUGUGGGCCUUGUCAAGUAUAUCAAACUCCUCUUUGAGUCUAGCAAGAUCAACCCCGAGUUUGGCCUUCUCGGAAUUUAGCACACGAGAAACAACGAGGGCAUGAUCAUAAUCUUUCUCUAACGUAGCAUGAUCUACGUUGUGUGACUCCUCAAGAGCCAAACGAAGACCACGCUCUUCCUCAAGAGCAUUGGAAAGAUCCGAAAUCUCAUCGGCAUAGUCGCGACUAUGUCCUUCCAUCUUAGAGAUGGUGUCUUCGUGAGCCUCGAUAAUGUCAUUGGCCUCACCAAGUUGUUCCAAGAGAGCAAUAAAGUGCUUCUUGGAUUUUCCCUUGAGUUUGCCCAUAAAGGCCUCAAACUCGUUAGCCUCCACAUUAGCUCCCUCAAAUUCAUUAAUGCUAUCCGUUGGGGAAGGAUGAUUAAUGAUGGUAGUUUUGAUGUUGGAGGUUACCUUGUUGGUGGCUUUAGCCAUGAGGCACUUGGCGGUGAUGCUCUCGUUGGGUGAGUCGAAGAGAGACACCCGUGACGUUGUUGCAAUGGCAACGGAGGCCAUGGCAACCGACUCAUCAUCUUCAUCAUCGUCAUCGUCCUCAUUGUACUCUUCUUGCACAACCAAGGCCUUGGGAUGAGUCUUCUUGGUGAAGUUGUUCUUGUUGGGGAACGACUUGGCCUUGUCCUUUCGGAUGAGUUUGCCACCAUUGUCUUCCCUCUUCUCAUACGGGCAUUCCGCAACAAAAUGACUCACGUUGCCGCAAUUGUAGCAAGUCCUUACACGUUGCUUGCCCCUUGUACCACUCGAGUUGUUUUUGCUAAAGUUUGGCCUUGAGUUUUUCUUGCUCCAAAAUUGCCUUGAAGCAAGUGCCAUGUGUUCAUGAUAUGCAUACUUCGUAUCUUCGGGGUUGCUCUCCUCUUCUUCCUCUUCUUCGUCUUCCACUAUGAGCUUGGCCUUCAAUGCAAGGUUAGGCUUCUUUGCCCGUUGAGAACGAAGCACCGCAAUGUCGGCGGUCUUGUCCAAAAUGUUCAUGGCCACAAACUCAUCCAACACUUCGCUUGAGGUCAAAGUGUGGAAGUCCGGUCUUUGAUGAAUGACGGAGGACAUGGCCUUGUGAUAGGGCAUCAUUGCCUUGAGGAAUUUGUGCUUGAUCCAAUUGUCAUCCGUGUCCUUGCUCCCGUGAUCUCGUAGUGAGACCGCGAGUUUGGUUACUCUCCGAUAGAGCUCACGAGGUUUUUCAUCUUCCUUCAUUGCAAACUCAUCGGCCUCAUCUUGUACCACUUCAUAGUUGGAGCGUUGAAUGCUUGCGCUUCCCCGGUAGAGAGACACGACACAAUGCCAUGCAUCUUUGGCCAAGGCGAAAGGACGAAGAUGAGGUAGGUCUUCGGGUGGAAUAGCAUCUUGAAUGAUGAAGAGAGCAUUCUCAUUGAAUUGAUUGUCCGCGGCUUCUCGAGGAGUGAAGUUGCUUGGAUCAUGUGGAUAGAAACCUUCUUCAUUGAUUCUCCAAAGGUUAGUGUUCACAUGAUUUAAAUGACCUUUAAAGUGGUAAACCCAAGAAUCAAAAUCCUCAUUUUUCACAAUCUUAGGGGGAGGACCGACAUGAUUCAAAUGAGUGGAAGGAAUCGGUCCACCAUAAACAAGUGGUGGUUCCACAUGGGCAAAGAUGUUGGUGCCAUUCUUGCCACUAGAAGAAGGAGCCUUUUCACUACUAUCUUCCCCCUUGUCGGGGAUAGCAUGCGUCACCUUGUUGGCGGGAUCACCCACUUUCAACGAUGCGGUGGAUAGUUUAAGCCCCUCAAGAAAUUUAGUAAACAUGCUUUCGACUUCAGUCGUCAUGGAGGUUUUCAAUGUCUCCAAGGCCAUAUUGAACUCCUCACGAGAGACCGAAGUUCCCCCAUCUCCCGUAGACGAGAUCGGAUUCACACCGGAGUGUUCCUCCACACCGUCUACGGUAUCAACCAUACUCUUUGGACGGUAAAGUCCUUAAUAAAGAGACGAGGCUCUGAUACCAAUUGAAAGGAUCGAUAUGGUUGACUAGAGGGGGGGUUAAUAGGCAACUAACAAUUUUUAGCUUUUCUUUAACAAGUUAAACUUUGCAUCAAAAUAGGUUGUCUAGAAAUGCAACUAGGUGAGCAACCUAUAUGAUGCAACGAGGAUAGGUACACAAGCAAGCAAGAGAAAUGAAACAAGUAAGCUUGCUUAAAUAAAGGCACGAGAUAACCAAGAGUGGAGACGGUGGAAACGAGGAUGUGUUGCCGAAGUUCCUUCCCUUUGAGAGGAAGUACGUCUCCGUUGGAGCGGUGUGGAGGCACAAUGCUCCCCAAGAAGCCACUAGGGCCACCGUAAUUCUCCUCACGCCCUCACACAAUGCGAGAUGCCGUGAUUCCACUAUUGGUGCCCUUGAAGGCGGCUACCGAACCUUUACAAACAAGGUUGGGGCUCACUCCACAACUUAAUUGGAGGCUCCCAACAAAACCACGAAGCUUCACCACAAUGGAAUAUGGCUCUGAGGUGACCUCAACCGUCUAGGGUGCUCAAACACCCAAGAGUAACAAAAUCCACACAAGAAAGUAUGGGGGGACCAAAUAUCCUUUGGUGGAAGUGUAGAUCUAGGUCUCCUCCUUCAAUCCCUAGAGAGAGAGAUCGGGCAAGAGAGCUUGAAGGGCAUCAAUGGUGGAGUGAGAGAGGUCAAAGGUGGGAGUGGUAGGUGGGAGAAGCCCCCUUAAGUAGUCUCCCCACAAUUCCAACAGUUACUGCGUUUUUGCACUACAGCGGUACAACCGGUCCUCGUCCCGGUACAACCUGGACUCACGGUGUAACAGCAGAACCCUACCAAGCGGUACAACCGGACAGGCGGGAGGUAGUACCGGCUAAGAAAUAUAACUGGACUAACCGUCUGGCUACCGCACAACCACCACAUCAAAACAGGAGCUUGACCGGUACUUGGGUGGUGCCUGGCCGGAACAACCGCAUGGCCUUGAGCUCUUGGGCGGCUAAGUUCUGAGCGGAAGAACUGCUCGGACCACCGGUGGUACCGGUCAUCGUGGAACGACCGGACCAACCGGGCCACUACGGCCCAAGAACAGCAUCAAACCAGAGGCGAGAGCGGUACUUGAGCGGUACAUGGACGGAACCACCGCCCUAGCUGUUGCAGAGCAUGGUGGCGGUACCACCGUCCGGAGGCAGCGGUACAACCGCUCGAGCAAAAGCUGGUGAGCGACAAGACCCAGCGGUACAACCGCUCCAGAGAGCGGUACAACUGCUGGGCAGAAACAGUGAGCAGGAAAGAGGGGAAGAGGCAAGGAAAACUCUCUCUCUCACACACACACCUGAGGAAGGCAAAGAGAGAGUGAGAAAAGUGUACGUGAACUGAUUCCCCCAGAUCUUCCUAAUGAGGAUUCCCUCUUGAUAGUACGGGUACUCUACGACCAAAGAAAAUAAAAACGUAGAGGACACGUCUUCGAUCUUUUCCUUCGAGAGGUAAUAGCAAUCCGAUGUAAGCCUAAGCAUCGAGAACCUGAAACAUAUAGCACACGUUUAUACCACAAAGGGUUAUCAUCAUCAUCCAAAACAUAAAGUAGGGAAUGCCCUUUCAGUUACUACUGUUAGUUAUGCACUUGAGUGAUGGGUCUGUAGGAUAAUAAGAUCAUCAACUCUGCUACACAGGGUCUGUAGGAUAAUGCUGAUCAAAAUAUUGAUAUGUUAGGACUAGUUUCCUAGUGCAAAUGCACUAAGAAAAAUCAUGCGCCAAUUGACAUUUAUGCUAGCUAGCUAUAUUCAGUUGGUAGGUGCUCGUACUUAAACUGCACAUUUAAAAUUUAAGCUUUGGUAGUGUUAUCUAUUUAGUUUGAUUUAUACACUGCAUUCCCAAGCUGAAAUAUUUUUUGUAACGGAAAUAUAUAGUCUGAGUUUCAUUCAGUUAUUUGUCACUUUUUAACUGAAUAUCUUUUUGUAACUGAAAUAUAUGUGUACUUACAGUGCAUAUUCGCAUUGUAUUAGAAUCUUAGUCCUUUUAUCCUGUAUUGUCUGAGAUUAUGCUUCCUCUCCAUUUAUUCAUUAUAUCUAUAUGCCUUGCUGAUGCUCAUUUCUAUCGCUGUAGGAUAAUGAGAUGUUGAAGCGGCAGAGUGAAUCCAUGAGACUGUAGUGCAAUUGCACCGUUCCAUUGAAUAUUACUCAGGAAUAAGGACAUUUCAAUGGCAGAUUAGCUCUAUUUUUCCUUUUCAUUUUUCUUACUAUUGGAGUGAGGACAUGUAGAAAGAGAAAUUGUGUGGUAGCAGAUAUGGCAACUGUGUGAUAGUAGAAUCAGGAAUAAAGAAUAUGGCAACUGUGUGAUAGUGACAUUUUUCCAUCACUAUUGUUUCUC